GGCUUAGCUCAAUUGGUAGAGCAACUGACUUGUAAUCAGUAGGUUGGGGGUUCAAGUAAGAGGACUGAAAAUCCUCGUGUCGGCGGUUCGAUUCCGUCCCGAGCCACCA
This 109-nucleotide transfer RNA is filed under the name Bacillus cereus. RNAcentral describes it as "tRNA-Thr". It matches the Rfam family "tRNA". Rfam says of the family: Transfer RNA (tRNA) molecules are approximately 80 nucleotides in length. Their secondary structure includes four short double-helical elements and three loops (D, anti-codon, and T loops). The record is from RNAcentral. Lineage: Bacteria; Bacillati; Bacillota; Bacilli; Caryophanales; Bacillaceae.